This 411-nucleotide unclassified non-coding RNA is filed under the name Farinopsis salesoviana. RNAcentral's name for it is "Comarum salesovianum partial external transcribed spacer". The record is from RNAcentral. Lineage: Eukaryota; Viridiplantae; Streptophyta; Magnoliopsida; Rosales; Rosaceae.
UGGGUUGGCGGGCUCCGUGCUACGGCAUCGAACCGUCCGCGCGCACUCCGCGUCAGUGAUGCAUCAAGAGUCUUCUUGUGCCUCGAACAGAUUCCUGUGUAUGCUACCUAUUGUAAAGGUAUGGCGCCUCUCGUUGACCCUUUUCCUUCCCCGACUCAUGCGGUCAGGGGGAGGACAUCAUAGUAGUGCCUGUGCUCCCCGCGUUGUGCGUGCCUUCUGGCGCGCACCUUGCGACGGUUCGCGGGUUGCUGCUGGAUGUCUCGGAUACUGUACAUUCGGUGGGCUUGGGGUCUUUGUACCCCCGAUGUCCAAAAUUCCAAGCGUUUUGUCGCUAGACAUGCACGACCGUCAUGCUCGUUACGGGAUCUCCCGCACGGUGCCUGACGUCGGCAAAAGGAAUGCUACCUGGUU